Molecule: transfer RNA, 72 nt
Filed under: Stegodyphus mimosarum
Lineage: Eukaryota; Metazoa; Arthropoda; Arachnida; Araneae; Eresidae
Rfam family: tRNA
About the family: Transfer RNA (tRNA) molecules are approximately 80 nucleotides in length. Their secondary structure includes four short double-helical elements and three loops (D, anti-codon, and T loops). Further hydrogen bonds mediate the characteristic L-shaped molecular structure. tRNAs have two regions of fundamental functional importance: the anti-codon, which is responsible for specific mRNA codon recognition, and the 3' end, to which the tRNAs corresponding amino acid is attached (by aminoacyl-tRNA synthetases). tRNAs cope with the degeneracy of the genetic code in two manners: having more than one tRNA (with a specific anti-codon) for a particular amino acid; and 'wobble' base-pairing, i.e. permitting non-standard base-pairing at the 3rd anti-codon position.
Source: Rfam by way of RNAcentral
ACCUUCGUGGUGUAGUGGUCAGCACGCUGGGCGCAUAACCAAAGUUCCGUGGUUCGAGUCCCGGCGAAAGCA